UGAGACCUGCCCGGUGUACUCUGGGUGCA
Molecule: non-coding RNA, 29 nt
Filed under: Homo sapiens (human)
Lineage: Eukaryota; Metazoa; Chordata; Mammalia; Primates; Hominidae
Source: RNAcentral